This 1069-nucleotide ribosomal RNA is filed under the name uncultured bacterium. Its description in RNAcentral is "bacterial SSU rRNA". It matches the Rfam family "Bacterial small subunit ribosomal RNA", at positions 1 to 1074 of the family's 1533-position model. The record is from RNAcentral.
GCAUCCAGACUUUGAUUAUGGCUCAGGAUGAACGCUAGCGGCAGGCCCUAAUACAUGCAAGUCGAACGGGAUUGAGAGCUUGCUUUCAUGAGGGUGGCGUACGGGUGCGUAACGCGUAUGCAACCUACCUUCAUCAGGGGGAUAGCCCGAAGAAAUUCGGAUUAACACCGCAUAAAAACACAACCUGGCAUCAGGAAAUGUUCAAAUAUUUAUAGGAUGAAGAUGGGCAUGCGUGUCAUUAGCUAGUUGGUGAGGUAACGGCUCACCAAGGCGACGAUGACUAGGGGAUCUGAGAGGAUGACCCCCCACACUGGUACUGAGACACGGACCAGACUCCUACGGGAGGCAGCAGUAAGGAAUAUUGGUCAAUGGAGGCAACUCUGAACCAGCCAUGCCGCGUGCAGGAAGACAGCCCUAUGGGUCGUAAACUGCUUUUAUACGGGAAUAAACCUUGAUUCGUGAAUCAAGCUGAAUGUACCGUAAGAAUAAGGAUCGGCUAACUCCGUGCCAGCAGCCGCGGUAAUACGGAGGAUCCAAGCGUUAUCCGGAUUUAUUGGGUUUAAAGGGAGCGUAGGCGGCUUGUUAAGUCAGGGGUGAAAGACGGUGGCUCAACCAUCGCAGUGCCUUUGAUACUGACGAGCUUGAAUAUAGUUGAGGUAGGCGGAAUGUGACAAGUAGCGGUGAAAUGCAUAGAUAUGUCACAGAACACCGAUUGCGAAGGCAGCUUACUAAGCUAUUAUUGACGCUGAGGCUCGAAAGCGUGGGGAUCAAACAGGAUUAGAUACCCUGGUAGUCCACGCCCUAAACGAUGAUAACUCGAUGUUGGCGAUAUACAGUCAGCGUCCAAGCGAAAGCGUUAAGUUAUCCACCUGGGGAGUACGCCCGCAAGGGUGAAACUCAAAGGAAUUGACGGGGGCCCGCACAAGCGGAGGAGCAUGUGGUUUAAUUCGAUGAUACGCGAGGAACCUUACCCGGGCUUGAAAGUUAGUGAAUCAUUUAGAGAUAGAUGAGUCCGCAAGGACACGAAACUAGGUGCUGCAUGGCUGUCGUCAGCUCGUGCCGUGAGGUG